This 924-nucleotide ribosomal RNA is filed under the name uncultured Bacteroidota bacterium. RNAcentral describes it as "bacterial SSU rRNA". It matches the Rfam family "Bacterial small subunit ribosomal RNA", at positions 1 to 916 of the family's 1533-position model. The record is from RNAcentral. Lineage: Bacteria; Pseudomonadati; Bacteroidota.
GGAUCCAGACUUUGAUUAUGGCUCAGGAUGAACGCUAGCUACAGGCUUAACACAUGCAAGUCGAGGGGAAACGAUAUUGGAAGCUUGCUUCCGAUAGGCGUCGACCGGCGCACGGGUGAGUAACGCGUAUCCAACCUGCCCACCACUUGGGGAUAACCUUGCGAAAGUAAGACUAAUACCCAAUGAUAUCUCUAGAAGACAUCUGAAAGAGAUUAAAGAUUUAUCGGUGAUGGAUGGGGAUGCGUCUGAUUAGCUUGUUGGCGGGGUAACGGCCCACCAAGGCGACGAUCAGUAGGGGUUCUGAGAGGAAGGUCCCCCACAUUGGAACUGAGACACGGUCCAAACUCCUACGGGAGGCAGCAGUGAGGAAUAUUGGUCAAUGGGCGAGAGCCUGAACCAGCCAAGUAGCGUGCAGGAUGACGGCCCUAUGGGUUGUAAACUGCUUUUAUAAGGGAAUAAAGUGAGUCUCGUGAGACUUUUUGCAUGUACCUUAUGAAUAAGGACCGGCUAAUUCCGUGCCAGCAGCCGCGGUAAUACGGAAGGUCCGGGCGUUAUCCGGAUUUAUUGGGUGUAAAGGGAGCGUAGGCCGGAGAUUAAGCGUGUUGUGAAAUGUAGACGCUCAACGUCUGCACUGCAGCGCGAACUGGUUUCCUUGAGUACGCACAAAGUGGGCGGAAUUCGUGGUGUAGCGGUGAAAUGCUUAGAUAUCACGAAGAACUCCGAUUGCGAAGGCAGCUCACUGGAGCGCAACUGACGCUGAAGCUCGAAAGUGCGGGUAUCGAACAGGAUUAGAUACCCUGGUAGUCCGCACGGUAAACGAUGGAUGCCCGCUGUUGGUCUGAAUAGGUCAGCGGCCAAGCGAAAGCAUUAAGCAUCCCACCUGGGGAGUACGCCGGCAACGGUGCAACUCAAAGGAAUUGACGG